Molecule: transfer RNA, 75 nt
Filed under: Chloroflexi bacterium CFX7
Lineage: Bacteria; Bacillati; Chloroflexota
Also listed under: 2 other names
Description: tRNA-Lys
Rfam family: tRNA
About the family: Transfer RNA (tRNA) molecules are approximately 80 nucleotides in length. Their secondary structure includes four short double-helical elements and three loops (D, anti-codon, and T loops).
Source: RNAcentral
GGGCCCGUAGCUCAGCGGAAGAGCAGUGGACUUUUAAUCCAUUGGUCGAGAGUUCGAAUCUCUCCGGGCCUACCA